Molecule: ribosomal RNA, 252 nt
Filed under: uncultured bacterium
Lineage: Bacteria
Description: partial 16S ribosomal RNA
Rfam family: Bacterial small subunit ribosomal RNA
Source: RNAcentral
UACGAGUGCCCCAAGCGUUAUCCGGAAUCAUUGGGCGUAAAGGGUGUGUAGGCGGUUGUGUUAGUCUUCUGUUAAAUUCUUCGGCUUAACCGGGGGUCUGCAGAGGAAACGGCACAACUAGAGGAUGCGAGAGGUGAAUGGAACUCAUGGAGUAGGGGUGAAAUCCGUUGAUAUCAUGGGGAACACCAAAAGCGAAGGCAAUUCACUGGCGCACUCCUGACGCUGAGACACGAAAGCGUAGGUAGCGAAUGG